GGACUACUGGGGUUUCUAAUCCUGUUUGCUCCCCAUGCUUUCGUACCUCAGCGUCAGUAUUAGGCCAGAUGGCUGCCUUCGCCAUCGGUAUUCCUCCAGAUCUCUACGCAUUUCACCGCUACACCUGGAAUUCUACCAUCCUCUCCCAUACUCUAGCUCACCAGUAUCGAAUGCAAUUCCCAAGUUAAGCUCGGGGAUUUCACAUCCGACUUAAUAAGCCGCCUACGCACGCUUUACGCCCAGUAAAUCCGAUUAACGCUCGCACCCUCUGUAUUACCGCGGCUGCUGGCACAGAGUUAGCCGGUGCUUAUUCUGCGAGUAACGUCCACUAUCUCUAGGUAUUAACUAAAGUAGCCUCCUCCUCGCUUAAAGUGCUUUACAACCAUAAGGCCUUCUUCAC
RNAcentral lists this unclassified non-coding RNA (400 nucleotides) under uncultured Moraxellaceae bacterium. Its description in RNAcentral is "contains 16S-23S intergenic spacer region". The record is from RNAcentral. Lineage: Bacteria; Pseudomonadati; Pseudomonadota; Gammaproteobacteria; Moraxellales; Moraxellaceae.